RNAcentral lists this transfer RNA (73 nucleotides) under Pleurotus ostreatus PC15. Its description in RNAcentral is "tRNA-Arg (TCT) (tRNA-Arg-TCT-1-1)". It matches the Rfam family "tRNA". Rfam says of the family: Transfer RNA (tRNA) molecules are approximately 80 nucleotides in length. Their secondary structure includes four short double-helical elements and three loops (D, anti-codon, and T loops). The record is from RNAcentral. Lineage: Eukaryota; Fungi; Basidiomycota; Agaricomycetes; Agaricales; Pleurotaceae.
GCCCGCGUUGUCUAAUGGCUAUGACGUCAGACUUCUAAUCUGGAGGUUGCGGGUUCGAGUCCCGCCGUGGGUU